Molecule: long non-coding RNA, 261 nt
Organism: Lolium rigidum
Lineage: Eukaryota; Viridiplantae; Streptophyta; Magnoliopsida; Poales; Poaceae
Exons: 3
Source: RefSeq, a predicted model, not a curated record
GCCCCCAUCGAGAGCAUCAGCAAUCCGCUCGCCGAUGUCCUCGGGAGAUCUGGAAGUGGGCUCCCGACUCCUUCCUGAAGACGCGUCUUGAGGACACUGGAUGCGCCCUCAAGUAUAUCCCACCCAUGGCACAUCGUCAACAAAAUUCUGAAUAUGCAUGCUCCUGAAUGGUUUGGGGUGGUUCACAACGUCAUCUACUCAUCUGAUUGGAAAUUUGUAUAUGUUAUCUAUCAUCUGACCCUCCAUGGAACUGAUGUUGAG